RNAcentral lists this ribosomal RNA (460 nucleotides) under uncultured bacterium. RNAcentral's name for it is "bacterial SSU rRNA". It matches the Rfam family "Bacterial small subunit ribosomal RNA", at positions 339 to 796 of the family's 1533-position model. The record is from RNAcentral.
CUACGGGAGGCAGCAGUGAGGAAUAUUGGGCAAUGCCCGCAAGGGUGACCCAGCAACGCCGCGUGGAGGAUGAAGGUCGUAAGAUUGUAAACUCCUGUUAGAGGGGAAGAACAGCACCGAUUGGAUCGGUGUUUGACUGUACCCUCGGAGAAAGCCCCGGCUAACUACGUGCCAGCAGCCGCGGUAAUACGUAGGGGGCAAGCGUUGUCCGGAUUUACUGGGUGUAAAGGGCGCGCAGGCGGGAUAGCAAGUCAGAGGUGAAAUCCUACAGCUUAACUGUAGAACUGCCUUUGAUACUGUUAUUCUUGAGUUCGGGAGAGAGAGACGGAAUUCCAGGUGUAGUGGUGAAAUACGUAGAUAUCUGGAAGAACACCAGUUGCGAAGGCGGUCUCUUGGUCCGAUACUGACGCUGAGGCGCGAAGGCGUGGGGAGCAAACAGGAUUAGAAACCCUUGUAGUCC